UCAUAUGGGCUUCCAUGUUGAUAUUGUUGUGGCGCGAGGGCACGGUCGAGCCACCCCUCAACGCGCGUGUUGUCGUCCGCCAGCCCAACACGCGGCGUCCUUGGCAUUAAGCAGCCACGCCAACGCAAGCUGACGACGGGCAGGUGCUCCUCGAUCCCCGACAAGAUCGAGUCACGCAUGCUCCGGCGCCGCGCGAAGGCGAUGGAGCACACGGGCGCGUGCACGGGGCCGAGAGAGGUUGUGGCCAGCUCGGGGCGUGUGCAGAAAGACCAGCGAAGACGGAGCUCGGCGGUCAUAGUCAGCGGCU
This 307-nucleotide long non-coding RNA is filed under the name Hordeum vulgare. RNAcentral's name for it is "long non-coding RNA (HVUL_LNC013919)". The record is from RNAcentral. Lineage: Eukaryota; Viridiplantae; Streptophyta; Magnoliopsida; Poales; Poaceae.